UCACUGAACCCUAGCAGCCGCACACCCCCAAUCUCUCAUCUGCCCACACUCACCACUCUAACGUGCUUCACUCUCUGGCCCACUCCUUCUAAUUUUUUUUGUCUGCUCUUCCUCUUCCCUUCCCCAUUCCUCUCCUCUCCAACAGAUCUGUAAAAACACAAAAAGCUGGAAGUCGUGGAACCAGGUUGGGAAGAAAAAAAAAAUGGCACUUACGGAAGUCGACAUCAAUACCGGAAGUCGACUUCCGUAGUUAGUAAAUAUUGAUUUCCGUAAGAGCAGUUCCACUUCCGUAGGCCAGUGCAACUUCCGUAGGGGAGUUCGACGUUCGACUUCCGUAGGCGAGUUCGACGUUCGACUUCCGUAGGCGAGUUCGACGUUCGACUUCCGUAGGCGAGUUCGACUUCCGUAGGCGAGUUCCACUUCCGUAAGGUGUACCUCUUUUUCUGAGAAGAAAUGAAGCAGAUGGAAUUUCACACCUCAACCACGAAAUUUUUUGCAGUGACCACGAAAUUUUUUGCAGUGAAACUGAAAGUGAAACUGAAAGUGAAACUGAAGAGGGGUGCAGGGUAUAUAAAAGACUGGCCGGGCAUAAAUGGAAGAGCAUGAAUAUUUGGAGGUGCAGAAGAAAUAUUGGGGGUGCAGGAAGAAACCCCCAACAAACUACUACUAACUCACGGGACCCACACCCUCUUUCUAAAACCCAAAACGCACACACCUUACAAAUCACUCGCCCUAAACCUUCAUUCACGCUCACCUCACUCACGCGCACACAUCACAGACGACACUCACCUCUAACACUAAGACUCACUCAUCCCACAGUCUCUCCCUUAACGCUUCACUAACCAACGCACACUUGAUUCACUGGGGAACACGAUAAAAGCAGAAGAAAAGGAAGAAAUAGGGGUUGGAGAAGUCACGAAGG
This is a long non-coding RNA of Vigna unguiculata (cowpea), 922 nucleotides long. The record is from RefSeq and is a predicted model, not a curated record. Lineage: Eukaryota; Viridiplantae; Streptophyta; Magnoliopsida; Fabales; Fabaceae.